GAAACUUGUAAGUUUCUUGCUCUCUGACUUUCCCUUUAUUAAAGUUAGAAAAAGGUUAAAUUAUAGAAAAUCUCUCUGUUAAAAUCCGAUUUUUUACUUUUCUCCUCUGAUAUUUAAAAACCUUCACUUUGCCUUUUUGUAAAAUAAAUAAUAUUCACAGGGAAUACGGUGUGAACUGUGAUGAUAAAAUGACCAUUUUAUCCUUCACCAUUUUGUCCCUCACUAUGUUCACAGAAGAAAAGGCUGAGGGCAUUUUGGCAUAAAAAAUAUAUAAUAAUAUUUUAUAAACGGAAUCCUAACGAAUUACUAACGGCAGGGGGCGAAGUGAAUAUUUUUUAUUUUACAAUGGGCAAAGUGUAGGUUUUUAAAUGACAGGGGGGAAGUGAAAAAUUAGGUUUUGACAUGAGGGUUUUAUGUAAUUUAGCCUUAGAAAAAUGUAUGCUAGCUGUCG
This 451-nucleotide long non-coding RNA is filed under the name Ananas comosus (pineapple). RNAcentral's name for it is "long non-coding RNA (ACOM_LNC002805)". Lineage: Eukaryota; Viridiplantae; Streptophyta; Magnoliopsida; Poales; Bromeliaceae. The record is from RNAcentral.